This 1116-nucleotide long non-coding RNA is filed under the name Oryza sativa Indica Group (long-grained rice). RNAcentral describes it as "lncRNA OsLima_01g0002460". The record is from RNAcentral. Lineage: Eukaryota; Viridiplantae; Streptophyta; Magnoliopsida; Poales; Poaceae.
UCCAAUGGCCCCUACCUGCUUCUUCGCCUUGUACUGUUACCGCUGAUACUCGCGGCGGCGGUGAGGGGAGCUGAUCAAGAAGAUGGAGGCUGCCUGGCCAGCAAGAAAUGCGGCGACCUGAAUAUCUCCUCUCCGGCCAGGCAGAUAAGCCGUGUGGUAUAUUGCAACAACUCCACCGGCGUCGCAACUCUUCGAAGCUCUACGGACAGCGGGUUUGAUAUCAUCAACAUAUCAUAUGGGGACCGUACUCUGCUCGUCUUUGAUGUCCAUAGACUCGCUCGCCUGAAUAGCUCCACUGACUGCCGUAUCCCAGUAUUUAACACCUUCGCCAAGCUGCCCGUCGCGUUUACAAUCAGCCCUUCCAAUCUCAACCUCGUCUUCUACAACUGCACCAAGGCGCCGUCGGCGGAGCAGCAGCGACAACUGGGGCUCGUCGAGACGAGAUGCGGUAACAACGCGUUUGCUCGGCUGGGAGGGCGUUUCGACGGACCGGGCGACUACGACAAGUACUAUUUGGAAGGCUGCAGCAGCAACAGCACCGUCUUCUCGCCGGUGCUGGAGCCGCCUGAUGGCAAGGCUAACGCCAGCAGGUAUGUGGAGCUCGUGCGUGGAGGCUUCCUCAUAACAUGGGACCUGCCAAAGAACCGGCAGUUCAAGUUCCAGAUCAUCGACAUCUUCUACAGCAACAGCUCCUUGCUUGUCACCGAUGUCCGAAAGACCGACGACUUCGACAACUCCAGUGGCUGCCAUGUCCCGAGGUCCAACACCUCCUCCAAGCUCGUUGUACAACUGCAUGCACCAAGCUUCCGACGGCAGCGGUGCGGCGUCUCCUCGGUCUCGUCGAGACGAAAUGAAGCAACAACACGUUCGCUCGCCUCGAGGAGAGUUACAACGAAGGGCUGCGACGCCGUGAUCGUGCCGGUGAGGGGUAGAGAUGGCGAGGCAAACGCGAGCAGCUACGAGCAGCUCAUCAGUGAUGGUUUCCUCUUGACAUGGCAGCCGCCGGCCGCCGCCGCAGAAUUCCUCGCCUUCUUCGUCUCGCCCAAAUCUGCUGCGUAUCGAUCGAUCGCUUCCACUGCAGCAUGCAUCCGUUUCGUGCUUCUGCAACUGCUAUGA